UACGUAGGCACCAAGCGUUGUCCGGAUUUAUUGGGCGUAAAGAGCUCGUAGGCGGUUCGGUAAGUCGGGUGUGAAAACUCUGGGCUCAACCCAGAGAGGCCACCCGAUACUGCCGUGACUGGAGUGCGGUAGGGGAGUGGGGAAUUCCUGGUGUAGCGGUGAAAUUCGUAGAUAUCGGGAGGAACAUCUGUGGCGAAGGCGCCGACCUGGACGACAACUGACGCUGAGGUGCGAAAGCAUGGGGAGCAAACGGG
This 254-nucleotide ribosomal RNA is filed under the name uncultured bacterium. RNAcentral's name for it is "partial 16S ribosomal RNA". It matches the Rfam family "Bacterial small subunit ribosomal RNA", at positions 524 to 776 of the family's 1533-position model. The record is from RNAcentral.